UUUCCGUAGGUGAACCUGCGGAAGGAUCAUUGAUGAGUUGUCAUGGGGUUCGAUGCUGGCAGCCAAUUUUUGGAUGCAUGUGCUUGCCCUAACAAUCAUCUUCCAAACACCUGUGCACAUUUUUGAGGGAGUCUUGAGUUGGUUGCCGCUCUUGGGUGAUUUUCUCACAUUCCCUUAAAUCAUUAUACGCUAUUAACAAUGUUGAACGUGCUCUGUGCCGCAAGGCUAUUAAUAUAAUACAACUUUUAACAACGGAUCUCUUGGCUCUC
Molecule: unclassified non-coding RNA, 269 nt
Filed under: plant metagenome
Description: partial contains small subunit ribosomal RNA, internal transcribed spacer 1, and 5.8S ribosomal RNA
Source: RNAcentral